GGGGGCGACAGGCUUCGACGGGGAUCAAAGAGAUGGAAGUAGCGUGCCGAGGUUCCAGUUGGCCUCGUAAAACCACUGGAAACUGAUUCAAUUGCAGACGAUUAUCCGUAUGCAAUGGCUGCUUAAAAGUGGCCCGUCCGUUCCAAUUUAGCCUGCGAAGUUGGAAACGGGCGCCGAUAAAGCGGGCUGGCUCGAGCGCCUCCGCCUGAGGGCGUUUGGGUGAGAUUUUUCAGGCUGGCAAUCCGGUGAUCCUGUCGGUUGGAGCGCUGGAUGGCGAGAUUUAAUAGACCGACUACGCACGUAGAAACUUCCGUUGAAAGGUCUUCGGACAUGGGUUCGAUUCCCAUCGCCUCCACCA
This 358-nucleotide transfer-messenger RNA is filed under the name Candidatus Latescibacterota bacterium. RNAcentral's name for it is "Candidatus Latescibacteria bacterium transfer-messenger RNA". It matches the Rfam family "transfer-messenger RNA". Rfam says of the family: Bacterial tmRNA, also known as 10Sa RNA or SsrA, is named for its dual tRNA and mRNA-like properties. Its role is to liberate the mRNA from a stalled ribosome. To accomplish this part of the tmRNA is used as a reading frame that ends in a translation stop signal. Lineage: Bacteria; Pseudomonadati; Candidatus Latescibacterota. The record is from RNAcentral.